This 420-nucleotide ribosomal RNA is filed under the name uncultured bacterium. RNAcentral describes it as "bacterial SSU rRNA". It matches the Rfam family "Bacterial small subunit ribosomal RNA", at positions 355 to 774 of the family's 1533-position model. The record is from RNAcentral.
UGAGGAAUAUUGCUCAAUGGGAGAAAUCCUGAAGCAGCAACGCCGCGUGGAGGAUGAAGGGUCUAUGACUUGUAAACUCCUGUAAAGAAGGAAAAAAUUCCCAUUUGAUGGGAGAUGAUGGUACUUCUGGAGUAAGCCCCGGCUAACUACGUGCCAGCAGCCGCGGUAAUACGUAGGGGGCAAGCGUUGUCCGGAUUUACUGGGUGUAAAGGGUGCUCAGGCGGAUUUGUAGGUCAGAGGUGAAAUCUUACAGCUUAACUGUGAAACUGCCUUUGAUACUGCAAGCCUAGAGUAUGGAAGAGAGUGAUGGAAUAUCUGGUGUAGCAGUGAAAUGCGUAGAUAUCAGAUAGAACACCAAUGGCGAAGGCAGUCACUUGGUCCAUUACUGACGCUAAAGCACGAAAGCGUGGGUAGCAAACA